Long non-coding RNA from Perca fluviatilis (European perch), 290 nucleotides. RefSeq lists it as uncharacterized. Lineage: Eukaryota; Metazoa; Chordata; Actinopteri; Perciformes; Percidae. The transcript is spliced from 4 exons. The record is from RefSeq and is a predicted model, not a curated record.
CCGUUCUUGUCAUCAGAAACAAAUGGAACACAAAACCACUUGAAAAUGACAACAAUGUGAAUGAUGGCGCCGACGUCCAGUAUGAAAACGUGGAAGCACGUCCUGCUGCUGCUCGACCGCAGUGAUCAACAACUUCAGAUCAUCAGAAAGUCAAAUAGCAUCAGUCAUUGGACACAUGUAACGAGGGACAACUAAUCACUCAACAAAAUCCUAACUGUUUGCUGUCCUGGCGGUUCUGAAUGGUGGAACGAAGCUCGCCAUUGACAUCAGGACGGCUGAAAGCAUCUUCC